RNAcentral lists this ribosomal RNA (496 nucleotides) under uncultured bacterium. Its description in RNAcentral is "partial 16S ribosomal RNA". It matches the Rfam family "Bacterial small subunit ribosomal RNA", at positions 28 to 507 of the family's 1533-position model. The record is from RNAcentral.
GAUGAACGCUGGCGGCGUGCCUAAUACAUGCAAGUCGAGCGAACAGACGAGGAGCUUGCUCCUUUGACGUUAGCGGCGGACGGGUGAGUAACACGUGGGUAACCUACCUAUAAGACUGGGAUAACUUCGGGAAACCGGAGCUAAUACCGGAUAAUAUUUCGAACCGCAUGGUUCGAUAGUGAAAGAUGGCUCUGCUAUCACUUAUAGAUGGACCUGCGCCGUAUUAGCUAGUUGGUAAGGUAACGGCUUACCAAGGCAACGAUACGUAGCCGACCUGAGAGGGGGAUCGGCCACACUGGAACUGAGACACGGUCCAGACUCCUACGGGAGGCAGCAGUAGGAAUCUUCCGCAAUGGGCGAAAGCCUGACGGAGCAACGCCGCGUGAGUGAUGAAGGUCUUCGGAUCGUAAAACUCUGUUAUUAGGGAAGAACAAACGUGUAAGUAACUGUGCACGUCUUGACGGUACCUAAUCAGAAAGCCACGGCUAACUACGUG